AUUGAACGCUGGGGCAUGCCUUACACAUGCAAGUCGAACGGCAGCACGGGGGCAACCCUGGUGGCGAGUGGCACACGGGUGAGUAAUACCAUCGNAACGUGUCCUGUAGUGGGGGAUAGCCCGGCGAAACCCGGNUUAAAUACCGCAUACGAUCUUGUGGAUGAAAGCGGGGGAUCUUAGGACCUCGCGCUGCAGGGGCGGCCGAUGGCAGAUUAGCUAGUUGGUGGGGUAAAGGCCUACCAAGGCG
RNAcentral lists this ribosomal RNA (247 nucleotides) under Burkholderia sp. E2HC-10. RNAcentral describes it as "partial 16S ribosomal RNA". It matches the Rfam family "Bacterial small subunit ribosomal RNA", at positions 30 to 275 of the family's 1533-position model. Lineage: Bacteria; Pseudomonadati; Pseudomonadota; Betaproteobacteria; Burkholderiales; Burkholderiaceae. The record is from RNAcentral.